CUGGUAGUGGGCCGUUCUGGGCCACGUGGAGUUUGUUACAGAGAGUGGAGUGGUGUCCGUUGUCGCAACUUGCUGGGGAGUUUGGAUCAGAUGGUUGAAGCUCGGUUGGGAUGUCUGGUGGAGCGAAAUCGCUCUCUAUCUCAACAAUCUAAGAGAAGCUCGGAUGUUUUCGAGGUUGCUGACAGGUUAAUUAUUGUUGGGUGCCUUAGGCAUUGAUGCCGCA
This 223-nucleotide long non-coding RNA is filed under the name Elaeis guineensis (African oil palm). RNAcentral describes it as "long non-coding RNA (EGUI_LNC080282)". The record is from RNAcentral. Lineage: Eukaryota; Viridiplantae; Streptophyta; Magnoliopsida; Arecales; Arecaceae.